RNAcentral lists this ribosomal RNA (259 nucleotides) under uncultured prokaryote. RNAcentral describes it as "partial 16S ribosomal RNA". It matches the Rfam family "Bacterial small subunit ribosomal RNA", at positions 524 to 782 of the family's 1533-position model. The record is from RNAcentral.
GACGUAGGAGGCAAGCGUUAUCCGGAUUUAUUGGGUUUAAAGGGUGCGUAGGCGGGCUAUUAAGUCAGUGGUGAAAUCCUGCAGCUUAACUGCAGAACUGCCGUUGAUACUGAUAGUCUUGAGUUUGGUUAAGGUAGGCGGAAUGUGUAAUGUAGCGGUGAAAUGCUUAGAUAUUACACAGAACACCAAUUGCGUAGGCAGCUUACUGAGCCGACACUGACGCUGAGGCACGAAAGCGUGGGGAUCGAACAGGAUUAGA